GUCAUACCACCUCAGGCUGUGAUCUCAUUUGAUUUCACAAGCUAAGAAAGGUUAGACCUAGUCAGUGCUUGGAUAGAAGACUGCCAAGGAAAACAAACAAAACC
Molecule: ribosomal RNA, 104 nt
Filed under: Chelonoidis abingdonii (Abingdon island giant tortoise)
Lineage: Eukaryota; Metazoa; Chordata; Testudines; Testudinidae
Source: RNAcentral